This 459-nucleotide ribosomal RNA is filed under the name uncultured bacterium. Its description in RNAcentral is "partial 16S ribosomal RNA". It matches the Rfam family "Bacterial small subunit ribosomal RNA", at positions 338 to 795 of the family's 1533-position model. The record is from RNAcentral.
CCUACGGGUGGCUGCAGUGAGGAAUAUUGGUCAAUGGGCGGGAGCCUGAACCAGCCAAGCCGCGUGAGGGAAGAAUGUACAGCGUAUUGUAAACCUCUUUUGUCAGGGAACAAAGGCGGGGACUAGUCCCCGGUUGAGGGUACCUGAAGAAAAAGCAUCGGCUAACUCCGUGCCAGCAGCCGCGGUAAUACGGAGGAUGCGAGCGUUAUCCGGAUUUAUUGGGUUUAAAGGGUGCGCAGGCGGCCUGUUAAGUCAGCGGUAAAAGCGCGGAGCUCAACCCCGUCGAGCCGUUGAAACUGACGGUCUUGAGUUGGAGAGAAGUACGCGGAAUGCGCGGUGUAGCGGUGAAAUGCUUAGAUAUCGCGCAGAACCCCGAUUGCGAAGGCAGCGUACCGGCUCCACACUGACGCUGAGGCACGAAAGCGUGGGUAUCGAACAGGAUUAGAUACCCGAGUAGUC